Molecule: small nuclear RNA, 145 nt
Filed under: Otolemur garnettii (small-eared galago)
Lineage: Eukaryota; Metazoa; Chordata; Mammalia; Primates; Galagidae
Description: U1 spliceosomal RNA (ENSOGAG00000023122.1)
Rfam family: U1 spliceosomal RNA
About the family: U1 is a small nuclear RNA (snRNA) component of the spliceosome (involved in pre-mRNA splicing). Its 5' end forms complementary base pairs with the 5' splice junction, thus defining the 5' donor site of an intron.
Source: RNAcentral
AAACUUUGGUGUGAUGAAGGUGACUUUCCCAGAAUGAGGCUUAUCCUCUGUACCCAGGUGUGCUGACCCCUGUCAUUUCCCCAAAUGUGGGAAUGUCAGCUGCAUAAUUCAUGGCAGUGUGGGACUGCAUUUAUGCUCUCUCUUG